AUUAGAAUAGAGUUGUCUGUGAUGGUGGAGAUUGGCUGAAAAGGGGCUCAAGGGAUCUUUCUGGUUGGUGGAAAUAUCCUGUCUUGAUUGGAGCUUUAGUUAUGCAGAACAGAGUUUUCAACAGACUGACGCUCCCUUAAAGUUCAUUUUAGUCGAGUAAGUCAUCUGAAUCAUAACUGGAAAUGCGUCUAAGCUACUGCCCAUAUCUCUGUGAUAUACUUCAAAAUAACCUUGGUUUGAAUUAAGCUUGCAGAUAAAUGAUCCUUGACUAACAUAGAUCUCAAAAGUAUGAAAAGCUUUUGCUUGGGAAUGCCUGCAUGAAGAGACUAUGAAGGACAAAAAUAUCUUAAUAUGGAGCAGAAAUCUUAAAGGAAGAAAUCCAUGGUUAAGAAGACAACUUGUCACUAUUCUCUAAAAUUUGAGCAUUUAAAUGACAAAGCAACAACAUAGUGA
This 453-nucleotide long non-coding RNA is filed under the name Equus asinus (donkey). RNAcentral describes it as "lncRNA (ENSEASG00005035386.1)". The record is from RNAcentral. Lineage: Eukaryota; Metazoa; Chordata; Mammalia; Perissodactyla; Equidae.